ACUCGAGUGGCGAACGGGUGAGUAACACGUGGGUGAUCUACCCUGCACUUCGGGAUAAGCUUGGGAAACUGGGUCUAAUACCGGAUAGGAGCCAUCUUUAGUGUGGUGGUUGGAAAGUUUUUUCGGUGUAGGAUGAGCUCGCGGCCUAUCAGCUUGUUGGUGGGGUAAUGGCCUACCAAGGCGGCGACGGGUAGCCGGCCUGAGAGGGUGUACGGCCACAUUGGGACUGAGAUACGGCCCAG
This 242-nucleotide ribosomal RNA is filed under the name uncultured Actinomycetales bacterium. RNAcentral describes it as "partial 16S ribosomal RNA". It matches the Rfam family "Bacterial small subunit ribosomal RNA", at positions 89 to 334 of the family's 1533-position model. Lineage: Bacteria; Bacillati; Actinomycetota; Actinomycetes; Actinomycetales. The record is from RNAcentral.